ACCUGUGUCAUCCCUCAGCACCCCCCCAUUCUCUCAGGUCCCCCCACCUUGUCCCCCCUCCGUUCCCUCCUCUCAGGUCCCCUCCUCAGGUGCCUCUGCCUGUGUCAUCCCUCAGGUCCGCCCCCCAGGUUCUCCCUCUCAGGUCCCCCCCUCAGGUGCCUCUGCCUGUGUCAUCCCUCAGCACCCCCCCAUUCUCUCAGGUCCCCCCGCCUUGUCCCCCAUCCGUUCCCUCCUCUCAGGUCCCCUCCUCAGGUCCCUCUGCCUGUGUUAUCCCUCGGUCCCCCCCAGUUUCAGGUCCCUCCCCUCCGGUCCCCCCACCAUGUCCUCUCUCAGGUCUUCUUCAGGUCCUCCCUCCGUUCCCUCCUCUCAGGUCCCCCCCCCCAGGUUCCUCUACCUGUGUCAUCCCUCAGGUCCCUCCACCCAUGUAUCCCUUCAAGUCCUCUCUCAGGCCCCCCACCCAUCUCGCCCCUCUGACUUCCCUUGAUCCCAGAUCUCCCCACCCACUCUGUCAGGGACCCCCUUUCCCCCCAAAGGGUUCUAGAGACCUGAGCGAGCCGUGUAGUGACUGUUCCGGCUGCAUCUUGAGGUCUGUCGGGGAGCUGGACACGAGGCAGAUUUGUGUUCGAUUUGCAAGCUGGGUGCAGAGGACAAAGCGUGUCUUGUGAUGUGAGUCAGUGAUGGACUCCGGGUGCCGCUGUUGCGCGGCCUGUGGCUUGGACGGCAAGUGGGCGAGGCUCGCAGGGAGUGGAAGGGGCCUGUUGGAGACAGAGUCCAGGAGAUGAGGGCCCAGGAAAGGAGUCGUGAGCUUGCUCUCCUGGGACCCGUGUCGGGUCUUGCCCUGCCACCGUCUGCCAGGGUGUAGACGGCGGCUCGCACGGGGAGUGGUUCUGGUGCUGAGUGGGUGGAGGCCAGGGGUGCUGCUCGGCACCCACGCGCCCCUGCCACCCUGGCUUGGUGAGUCCAGAGUUCUGGCUUUGAGGCCGCUUCUUGCUCCUCCACAGCUGCUGUGUGCUGGGCAGCGCCUGGGUCGACAUCUCCCUCCCGGGUCGGUCUCUGAUGGGCAGAUGUGCCAGUGGCAGCGCGGGGGUGAGCUGCUUCCCCGGUGUCUGGAGGCCCUGAGCGGGUCUGGGCUGAGGUCUGUGGAGCUUGGUCUCCCGCCAGUGUCCCAGCAGCCCUGUCAGGACAGUUUCACGCUUCCGUCACCUGAAUCAUCCAAAAUGACAUCUGAGGCCCCGGGAUUUUGCGCGGCUCCGAGCUGGGUCAGCUGGUGCACCUACCUGCCUGCCUGGCCCUGCCACUAGGUGGGGACACAGGCCCAUGCAGCCGCUGUCGCUGUCCCAUAUCCACAGGCCAGGCCCACCUUUCCCGUUCUGUCUCGGGACCCUUUGGUUCUGAACCUUUUCAAGCUCCUGUUAUGAGAUGACAGCAGGGUAUUUACUGUGUUAGGAACAAAAAUGGAGACGCUGUUACGCUUAAUACUUUUUACGGAAAACCGGCGAUAAUAAAUCCGCUGCAGGUAGACGUGGCA
This 1528-nucleotide long non-coding RNA is filed under the name Sus scrofa (pig). RNAcentral describes it as "lncRNA (ENSSSCG00015024733.1)". Lineage: Eukaryota; Metazoa; Chordata; Mammalia; Artiodactyla; Suidae. The record is from RNAcentral.